CUGAAUGGCCUCUGGGCCUUCAACCUUGCAAACCUGUGGAAGCAACAUGUGCUUCGGCGCUUCGGCGUCGCUUUUAUGCUGCAACAAGCUGAUCUGUCUGAAUCAAAUACAAGAAAUA
This 118-nucleotide unclassified non-coding RNA is filed under the name uncultured Archaeorhizomyces. RNAcentral's name for it is "sequence contains ITS1". Lineage: Eukaryota; Fungi; Ascomycota; Archaeorhizomycetes; Archaeorhizomycetales; Archaeorhizomycetaceae. The record is from RNAcentral.